Homarus americanus (American lobster) is the source of this 1244-nucleotide long non-coding RNA. RefSeq lists it as uncharacterized. The transcript is spliced from 3 exons. The record is from RefSeq and is a predicted model, not a curated record. Lineage: Eukaryota; Metazoa; Arthropoda; Malacostraca; Decapoda; Nephropidae.
AUGGUAUGAAGGGGAAGGUUAAGGACCCUAUGGUAUGUGGGAGGUUAAGGGUCCUAUGGUAGAGGGUGGUUAAAGGCCCUAUGGUAUGAGGGAGGUUCAGGGCCCUAUGGUAUGUGGGAGGUUAAGGGCCCUAUGGUAUGAGGGAGGUUCAGGGGCCCUAUGGUAUGUGGGAGGUUCAGGGCCCUAUGGUAUGUGGGAGGUUAAAAGUCCUAAUGUAUGAAGGAGGUUCAGGGCCUAUGGUAUGUGGGGAGGUUAAGGGCCCUAUGGUAUGUGGGAGGUUCAGGGUCCUAUGGUAUGAGGGAGGUUAAGGGCCCUAUGGUAUGUGGGAGGUUAAAAGUCCUAUGGUAUGUGGGAGGUUAAAAGUCCUAAUGUAUGAGGGAGGUUCAGGGUCCUAUGGUAUGAGGGAAGUUAAUGGCCCUGUGCUAUGAGGGAGGUUAAGGGCCAUAUGGUAUGAGGGAGGUUAAGGGCCCUAUGGGAUGAGGGAGGUUAAGGGCCCUAUGGUAUGUGGGAGGUUAAAAGUCCUAAUGUAUGAGGGAGGUUCAGGGCCCUAUGGUAUGUGGGAGGUUAAAAGUCCUAAUGUAUGAGGGAGGUUCAGGGUCCUAUGGUAUGAGGGAGGUUAAGGGCCCUAUGGUAUGAGGGAGGUUAAGGGCCAUAUGGUAUGAGGGAGGUUAAGGGCCCUAUGGGAUGAGGGAGGUUAAGGGCCCUAUGGGAUGAGGGAGGUUAAGGGCCCUAUGGUAUGUGGGAGGUUAAAAGUCCUAAUGUAUGAGGGAGGUUCAGGGCCCUAUGGUAUGAGGGAGGUUAAGGGCCCUAUGGUAUGAGGGAGGUUAAAAGUCCUAAUGUCUGAGGGAGGUUAAGGACCAUUCUGUGUGAGGGGAGGUUGAAGGCAGUGGUGGUUUGUGUUAAAAUGUAUAAAGAGGGUUGCAGUUUUAAAAAAUUUGCCGCAAAAAAAAUAUUUACCUUAGAGUCCAGUUUGUGAGUUAAGUUGGUGUUAAUACUCUGGGGCCUGGGUAUUACUUGAAAAUAUAUUCCAUCUGGUAGCUCUUUGAUGUAGCGAAGUGAUGAGUAACUUUUUUUUAUUUAAGUCCGUUAUUACUGUGGACAUUUUAUUUUCACUGGAUACCAUUGUUAAAGCAGGUAAUCUGUCCCUCACCAUGAUAUUCCACAAGAAAGUUAUUAUUGGUGUUAUCAUUACAGUGGUUCCUCGGUUAACGAGCACAAUCCGUUCUAGAAGGUUGCUCGUUAAC